Molecule: transfer RNA, 63 nt
Filed under: Protobothrops mangshanensis
Lineage: Eukaryota; Metazoa; Chordata; Lepidosauria; Squamata; Viperidae
Description: tRNA-Met
Source: RNAcentral
AGUAAAGUCAGCUAAAAAAGCUAUCGGGCCCAUACCCCGAAAAUGUCCACAGGGCCUUUACUA